RNAcentral lists this long non-coding RNA (4638 nucleotides) under Homo sapiens (human). Its description in RNAcentral is "HSALNT0381749". Lineage: Eukaryota; Metazoa; Chordata; Mammalia; Primates; Hominidae. The record is from RNAcentral.
GCCAUGCCCACUUGUUUACAUUAUUGUCUGGCUGCUUUUACACUACACCAAACUGAGUCACUGGGGCAGAGACCUUAUGUGGUGCAAAGCCUAAAACACUGUAAAUCUUCACUUAAUAUCAUGACAGGUUCUUGAAAAUUGUGACCUUAUGUGAAGCAACGAUAAACCACUUUUUUCUCAUCAAUGUUAUAACUAAACGUUAAAGGAAACUAUUAUUGGAGGACCUGCUGUAUGUCAUUUUGCUUUAAACUUGCAGUUUCCAAGAACCUACUGAUGACAUUAAAUGAAGACUUACUGUAUUUACUCUUUGGCCCCUGUGCCAAUUCCUGAUGCAAUCAGAUAUUCAUAAAUCUAUAUAAAAUACACGUUAUUCUGUAGAAAAAAUAUGAAUGCCUAUGGACCCCACACUUGGAUUUUCUCGAGUACUCAAGGAGCCAGGGUCUCUGUGCACGGCCUCUCCUAGAGUUGUGCAGUGGACAACCUGUGUGGCCAUGUGCUUCUUACCAAAGAUAAUUCCCCUUCCUCUGCCCAGAAGUAGCCAUUAUCCUGACUUUUAUGUCAUUUGUCUUUAUAGAACAUGUAUGUAUCUUUAAAUAAUAUAUUAAAGUUGGGUAGCAAGCAGAAACCUAGCUGUGUACAGAAAAGCGCUCUUGUCUCUGUACUCAAGUUUCCAAGCCAUAGUCAGCCUUUGUGUCCGCGACAGUAGCAGACAGCGCCCCUUCAGGGAAAGUUAGUGGAGGCAAGGUGUGGCAGAGGACUAGACAGUCUUGAAUAUGCCUUUGUUGCCUGAUCCUAGUACCUAGAAGGCACAUUCCUAUGCCUGCCUCCCUACAACUCAAUUCUCGCCUCCCUGCAACUCAAUUCAAUUCUCACUUCUUUGAGACUUUCUCAACCUCCAGUGGACAGUUAACCAUUCUUUCCUCAAUUUCCCACAAAUACUACAUUGCCAACCUGCUCAACCUGCUAUUUUAUGUCAGUGAUGGUUCCUGGGAAAGGAUGUAUUAUAUUUUGACAUUACAAUUCCUGAAGCAAGUCUCAGACAUUACAACCAAACUUGCAAAUAGAGUGAUGCUGUUCUCAGGAGCCUCCCAAGUCCUACAUCUCUGGCUACAAAGAAAGAGCACUGACUACACAGCAGACUGGCUGGCUGGCACUAAUAAUCCCUUCAGACUGAUCACUAUGGUGCUUGUGAGCUCUGCAGCUGAAGUCAUGGGUGCUUUCUUCAGCAAGUAUUUGUUACAUCAUGUAAAAAGCUAUGGCCUUGGCGGGGACAGCGGGGGUCAUAGGGAGAAUAAGAAAUAAGGAAAGGAAACACAGAAUUUUCCACAUUUAAAAUCAUCAUUUGAACACUCAAACUAGAAAAAAGGAGAACUUCAACAUGACAAAGGCCAUAUAUGAAAACCCACAGUGAAUAUCACACUCAAUGGUGAAAGACUGAAAGCUUUGCCUCCAAGAUCAGGAAGACAAGGAUGCUCACUUUUGCCACUUCUGUUCAACAUAAUAUUGGAAGUUUUAGCUAAAGCAAUCAGGCAAGAAAAAAGCAUCCAAAAUGAAAAGGAAAAAGUAUAAUUAUCUCUGCUGACAGAUCACAUGAUCUCAUGUAAAACCCUACAGUUAAAAAGUUAACUACCUGAAAGCUAUAAAAUGUUGCUGAAAGAAAUUUUAAAAGACAUAAAGACAUCCUGUAUUCAUGGAUAGGAAGACUCACUAUUGAUGUCAGUUUUAUUCUAUAUUGAUGUCAACUUCAUCUAUAGAUUCAGUGCAAUCUCAAACCAGUAAAUUAUUUUGUGGAUGGUGACAAAAUUACUCUAAAGUUUAUUAUGGAAUGGCAAAAGACCAAGAAUAGCAAAUACAACAUUGAAGAAGAACAAAAUUGAAAGACAUUCACAUGCCAAAAAAAAAAAAAAAAUUCUAGACACAGACUUUUAUACCCUCCACAAAAACAAAUAAAGUGGACUGAAGGUAUAAAACUUUUAGAAGAUAACAUAGGAAAAAAUCCAGAUGACCUUGCAUUUGGCAAUGGCUUUUUAGAUGCAACACCAAAGGCACAAUCCAUGAAAGAAGGAUUUAUAAGUUGGACUUCAUUAAAAUUAAAAAUUUUUGCUCUGUAAAAGAUACUGUCAAGGGAAUGAAAAGACAGGAUACAAAAUCAACACACAAAAAUUAGCUGCAUUUCUAUACACUAACAAUGUAUUCAUUGUUAGGUAUUUCCAAAAACGAAAUUAACAUAAUUCCAUUUAUAGUAGCAUCAAAAAGAAUAAAGUACUUAGGAAUACAUUUAAGGAGACAAAAGACUUAUACCUGAAAACUACAAAACAUUGCUGAAAGAAAUUUUUAAAGACAUCCUGCAUUCAUAGACUGGAAGACUUGAUGUUGUUAACAUGAUUAUUACUACCCAAAGCAAUCUACAGAUCCAAUGCAAUUCUUCUCAAAAUCCCAAUAGAAAUUUCUGCAGAAAUAGAAAACCCAUCCUGAAACUCACAUGGACUCUCAAGGAAUCCUGAAUAGCCAAAACAAUUUUGAAAAAGAACAACAAAGUUAUAGGACUCAUACUUUCAAUUUUAAAACUUACUACAAAGGUAUAGUAAUCAAAACAGGAUGGCACUGGCAUAAGGACAGACAUACAGACCAAUGAAAAAAACUCUUACUAUAUAGUCAACUGAUUUUUGACAAGAAUGACAAGACUACUCAAUGGGGAAAGGACAAUCUUUUCAAAAGAUGGUGCUGGGGAAACUAGGUAUCAACAUGCAGAAGAAUUAAGUUGGACUCUUACACCAUAUACAAAAAUUUAAAUAGAUCAAAGGUCUUAAACAUAAGUCUUAAAACUAUAAAACUCUUAGAAGAAAAUGUAGGGGAAAAGCUUCAUGACAUUAGAUUUGGCAAUGAUUUUGAUAUGACACCCAAAGCACAGGCAACAAAAGAAAAAAUAGAUAAGCUGAACUUUAUCAAAAUUAAAAAAUUGUGUAUUGAGGGAUACUAUAAAGAGAACCACAGAAUGGGAGAAAAAUAUUUGCAAAUUAUGUAUCUGGAUAAGGGAUUAAUGGCCACAAUAUAUGAAGAACUCCUAAAACUCAGCAACAAACUGAUUCAAAAAUGGGGAAAGGACUUUAAUAGACUUUUCUCCAAAGAGGCACAAAUGACCAACAGACACAUAAAAAGAUGCUCAACAUCACAAUUACUAGGGAAAUGCAAAUCAAAACCAUAGUGAGAUACUACUUCACAGUUACUAGGAUGGCUGUUAUUUAAAAGACAAAAACAAAAGCAGAAAAUAACGUGUUAGCUAGCAAGUGGAGAAAUUAAAACCUUUGUACCGGCUGGGUGCGGUGCCUCACACCUGUAAUCCCAGCACUUUGGGAGGCCGAGGCGGGUGGAUCAUGAGGUCAGGAGUUUGAGACCAGACCAAUAUGGUGAAACCCUGUCUAUACCAAAAAUCCAAAAAAAAAAAAAAAAAAAAAAUUAGCCGGGUGUGGUGGCUGCACACCUGUAGUCCCAGCUACUCAGGAGGCUUAGGCAGAAGAAUCGCUUGAACCCGGAGGCAGAGGUUGCAGUGAGCCAAGAUUGCACCGCUGCACUCUAGCCUGGGCAACAGAGCAAGACUCCAUCUAAACACACACACACACACACACACACACACACACACACACACACACACACACACACAAAAACCAACACAAACAUACAUAUAAACACAUGGAAAUAUAUUUCUUUAAGGGGAAGACUAUCUAGAUACAACAUACCCUUAACAUUCACAGAUUUGGCAACUGCUAUUUUAACUAUUUGAAAAGCCUGAAUGACCCUGAAAUGUACCUCAGUUUAAUAUUUUGCAGCAGCAUGAGUGUGAAUUUCACCUCAGAGCUCACAUGUGGAAGUGAAUUAUAUGGCCUGUAAAGAGUCUAUUAGCAGCCAGGCACGGUGGCUCACGCCUGUCAUCCCAGCAUUUUGGGAGGCCGAGGCAGGCAGAUCACUCGAGGUCAGGAGUCUGAGACCAGCCUGGCCAACAUGGUGAACCCCAUCUCUAUUAAGUACAAAAAUUAGCUGGGCAUGGUGGCUCGUGCCUGCAAUCCCAGCUACUCGGGAGGCUGAGGCAGGAGAAUCGCUUGAACCUGGGAAGUGGAGGUUGCAGUGAGCCAAGAUUGUGCCACUGCACUCCAGCCUGGGUGACAGAGCAAGACUCCAUCUCAAAAAGAGUCUACUAGCUAUCCAGUGUUCACAUUUCAGUAAGGAUCUGAGGAAGCUGCUUAAUAUUUCAUUUGUACUUUACUGCAUUUCCUAAAAGAAAAAAUAUAUAUUUAUAUAAAUAUUAAAAUAAGUAUAUAUGCAUAUAUAUUAUAUAUUCAUAUAUAUAUUAUAUAUUCAUAUAUAUAUGCACCACUUUCUGAAACUCUUAAGAUUCUCAAAGAUUUCAGGGCAUGUAUUUCACAACCGUCAGUCUUCCACAUGAUAUAAACUGUUAAAACAGCAUCUCUAUGGAAAGCAGGAAAUAAAGCUGGUUUGUUGAAGUUAGUUAUUAGGUCAACUUUAUAUACUAUAUAAAUUUAAUUUAGCAAAGCAGUAGUUUGGAAGUAUACAUUAAGUUAAUAUGCAUUUUUUACUAUCCCCCAAAUAGGUAUUAUAAAGGUGACACACAUCGGUUAAAAC